CUUCACCGAACCCAGCCACAACGGCCCCUGCUCACCCCGGUCCUGGCCGUAGGUGGCAAGCAGCGCCUGCGCCUC
Molecule: antisense RNA, 75 nt
Filed under: Streptomyces cellostaticus
Lineage: Bacteria; Bacillati; Actinomycetota; Actinomycetes; Kitasatosporales; Streptomycetaceae
Description: ASpks TB sRNA
Rfam family: ASpks TB sRNA
Source: Rfam by way of RNAcentral